GACGAACGCUGGCGGCGUGCUUAACACAUGCAAGUCGAGCGGUAAGGCUCCUUCGGGAGUACACGAGCGGCGAACGGGUGAGUAACACGUGAGCAAUCUACCCUUCACAUCGGGAUAACUCCGGGAAACCGGAGCUAAUACCGGAUACGACCACUUCAGGCAUCUGACGGUGGUGGAAAGCCCUGGCGGUGGAGGAUGAGCUCGCGGCCUAUCAGCUUGUUGGUGGGGUAACGGCCCACCAAGGCAACGACGGGUAGCCGGUCUGAGAGGAUGGCCAGCCACAUUGGGACUGAGAAACGGCCCAGACUCCUACGGGAGGCAGCAGUGGGGAAUCUUGCGCAAUGGUCUAACGACUGACGCAGCGACGCCGCGUGAGGGAUGAAGCUCUUCGGAGUGUAAACCUCUGUUGCCCGGGACGAAUAGCGGAUUAUUCCGACUUGACGGUACCGGGU
RNAcentral lists this ribosomal RNA (452 nucleotides) under uncultured bacterium. RNAcentral's name for it is "bacterial SSU rRNA". It matches the Rfam family "Bacterial small subunit ribosomal RNA", at positions 28 to 483 of the family's 1533-position model. The record is from RNAcentral.